UUUAGAUUUAAUAUUUAUUUAGGAUUUAUUUAGAGUUUAUUUAGGACUUGAUAAAGGUUUUUUAGGAUUUUCUUAGAAUUUGAUAUAAGAUUUGGUUAGGAUUUAGGAUUUGAUUAGGAUUUAGUUAAGAUUUUAUUAGGAUUUAGUUAGAAUUGAUUUAGAAUUUCAUUAGAAUUUGUUUAGUAUAUGAUUAAAGUUGGUUUAGGAUUUUAUUAGGAUUUUUUGAAGAUUAUAUUAGGAUUUAACUAAGAUUAAAUUAAGAUUUCUAUUUUUAAU
This 276-nucleotide long non-coding RNA is filed under the name Physcomitrium patens. RNAcentral describes it as "long non-coding RNA (PPAT_LNC004404)". Lineage: Eukaryota; Viridiplantae; Streptophyta; Bryopsida; Funariales; Funariaceae. The record is from RNAcentral.